CAGCAGUGAGGAAUAUUGGUCAAUGGGCGGGAGCCUGAACCAGCCAAGUCGCGUGAGGGAAGACGGUCCUAUGGAUUGUAAACCUCUUUAGGCGGGGAGCAAUGCCGGGCACGCGUGCCCGGAGGGAGAGUACCCGCAGAAUAAGCAUCGGCUAACUCCGUGCC
This 164-nucleotide ribosomal RNA is filed under the name uncultured bacterium. RNAcentral's name for it is "partial 16S ribosomal RNA". It matches the Rfam family "Bacterial small subunit ribosomal RNA", at positions 349 to 509 of the family's 1533-position model. The record is from RNAcentral.